CUCAAAUUUGAAAUCUGGUACCUUUGGUGCCCGAGUUGUAAUUUGGAGAGUACCACUUUGGGACUGUACUUUGCCUAUGUUCCUUGGAACAGGACGUCAUGGAGGGUGAGAAUCCCGUGUGGCGAGGGUGUCAGUUCUUUGUAAAGGGUGCUCGAAGAGUCGAGUUGUUUGGGAAUGCAGCUCUAAGUGGGUGGUAAAUUCCAUCUAAAGCUAAAUACAGGCGAGAGACCGAUAGCGAACAAGUACAGUGAUGGAAAGAUGAAAAGAACUUUGAAAAGAGAGUGAAAAAGUACGUGAAAUUGUUGAAAGGGAAGGGCAUUUGAUCAGACAUGGUGUUUUGCGCCCCUUGCCUCUCGUGGGCUUGGGACUCUCGCAGCUCACUGGGCCAGCAUCGGUUUUGGCGGCCGGAAAAAACCUAGGGAAUGUGGCUCUGCGCCUCGGUGUAGAGUGUUAUAGCCCUGGGGAAUACGGCCAGCCGGGACCGAGGACUGCGAUACUU
This 499-nucleotide ribosomal RNA is filed under the name Nakaseomyces glabratus. RNAcentral describes it as "eukaryotic LSU rRNA". It matches the Rfam family "Eukaryotic large subunit ribosomal RNA", at positions 108 to 610 of the family's 3401-position model. Lineage: Eukaryota; Fungi; Ascomycota; Saccharomycetes; Saccharomycetales; Saccharomycetaceae. The record is from RNAcentral.